This 936-nucleotide long non-coding RNA is filed under the name Homo sapiens (human). RNAcentral's name for it is "HSALNT0221467". Lineage: Eukaryota; Metazoa; Chordata; Mammalia; Primates; Hominidae. The record is from RNAcentral.
GGCUCCUCCUUCCCCGGCUCCUCCUCCACUCAGACCCAGGCCUGGGCCCUGCUCGCUAAAGCGUGAAGGAGGCCCCCCAGGGAAGCCGCAGGCGCAGGGGCUUUAAAUUAUAGAGCAGCUUUCUUAGCCCCUCUCAGAAAGGCCCAGGCACCUUCGCUAAAUAAUUCACGACCUCAGGAAGACCCACUGGUUCUUGACACAGAUGAAGUAGGUCAGCCCUCGGCUUGGCCCUGGGUGGGGGCCAUAGGACACAGAGCAGCUUUCCCACCAGCACAGGCAGGGGCUGAAGGCUGGGCGGCCUUGCCAGCUGGUCCGAUACUGCAGCGAGGCAAGGGGCACAGCGCGGGAGACGAGUAACCCCGGACUCCUCUGGGCACGAACACAGCCACCCUCUGAGGUCCAGGUAACUCGCCCACAGACACCCAGGGUUACCUGCAGGGCCUGGUCCUGGCCAGGCUCCUCCUCCUCCUCCCUCAGAGCACCUGGGUCGCCAGCUGACGCAUUCACCAGCACUGACAUCUUAGACCCAAGCCGACCUGUGCAGGACUGGGAUUCAGGAGACGGGGUAAGGCGGGGAGCGGUGACCUGAGGUGCAAGUGAGGAAGUGACCAGAGCCAGCCACAGCCACUUUAGUUUUGCUUAGAGCAAGGCUGGAGCAACACCUAUUGGGAGGGGGGUUCCGGGGCCUCUGCUGUCCUCCCUUUCCAGGCACGGCUUUGGGUCUGAGGUGCGGUGCGGUGCAGAGCAGCUCUCCCAGGAGUGGAUGAAAAAACAAACAGUUAAACCCUGAGUUCAGCACACCAGCCCUCCAGUAAGAGUCUGAAAGGAUUUCAAGCAACCUCUUCACAGACAAGGAACCCGAGACCCCAAGUCACAAAAGGAUCAGCAAUGACAACAGCCGCCUCAUCUCCCAAGUCUGAAAUGGCCAGACGGUCA